Molecule: non-coding RNA, 23 nt
Filed under: Cricetulus griseus (Chinese hamster)
Lineage: Eukaryota; Metazoa; Chordata; Mammalia; Rodentia; Cricetidae
Source: RNAcentral
AAACUCGGCUAGAUUUUCAUAGC